CUGAUUAAUAAAUAUUAAAUGGCCGCGGUAUCCUGACCGUGCAAAGGUAGCAUAAUCGUUAGUUUUUUAAUUGGAAUCUUGUAUGAAUGGUUGGACAAAAGAAAAACUGUCUUUGUAUUGAUUAUUGAAUUUUACUUCUAAGUGAAAAGGCUUAGAUAGUUUAAUGGGACGAUAAGACCCUAUAAAGCUUAAUAUUAAAAUUUUAUUUGAUUAAAUUUUUUUUCAAUAAAAAUCUAAUAAUUAAAUUUAUUUUAUUGGGGCGAUAAAAGUAUAAUGUUUGAUAACUGCUUAAUUUUAAUUACACCUAUGCGUGAAUUAAUUUAUGAUUGAUCCUAAUUAAAGAUUAAAAGUUUAAGUUACUUUAGGGAUAACAGCGUUAUUUUUCUUAAGAGUGCUUAUCGAAAGAAAAGUUUGCGACCUCGAUGUUGAAUUAAAAUAUCU
RNAcentral lists this ribosomal RNA (441 nucleotides) under Neoeriocheir leptognathus. RNAcentral describes it as "partial 16S ribosomal RNA". It matches the Rfam family "Bacterial large subunit ribosomal RNA", at positions 1905 to 2547 of the family's 2925-position model. The record is from RNAcentral. Lineage: Eukaryota; Metazoa; Arthropoda; Malacostraca; Decapoda; Varunidae.